RNAcentral lists this long non-coding RNA (278 nucleotides) under Manacus vitellinus (golden-collared manakin). RNAcentral describes it as "lncRNA (ENSMVIG00005011641.1)". The record is from RNAcentral. Lineage: Eukaryota; Metazoa; Chordata; Aves; Passeriformes; Pipridae.
GUCUGAAGGGAGACUUUACAGAACUGUACUUACUCCACUUAAUCUGUGCUUCUCUUGAAAAAAGAAAAGAUAAACAGUGAUCCUCAGGGAAAGCAGAGAAUUGGAGCUGAGAGAGAGGAUUAGUCCCAGAGGAUGCCAUGAUCAGCUGAGUUCUCAGUUUGAAGUUCUGGGCUGCAUUACCUGGUGGACUUGAAAUAAAUCAGCUGGUAACAAGGAAGAGAAGCUGGAACCACAGGAUGAUCAGAUCUGCAUCGCCUGUGUUUAACAUCUGUGAGCUC